This 253-nucleotide ribosomal RNA is filed under the name uncultured bacterium. RNAcentral's name for it is "partial 16S ribosomal RNA". It matches the Rfam family "Bacterial small subunit ribosomal RNA", at positions 524 to 776 of the family's 1533-position model. The record is from RNAcentral.
UACGAAGGGGGCUAGCGUUGCUCGGAAUCACUGGGCGUAAGGCGCACGUAGGCGGCUUUCUAAGUCAGGGGUGAAAUCCUGGAGCUCAACUCCAGAACUGCCUUUGAUACUGGGGAGCUCGAGUCCGGAAGAGGUGAGUGGAACUCCGAGUGUAGAGGUGAAAUUCGUAGAUAUUCGGAAGAACACCAGUGGCGAAGGCGGCUCACUGGUCCGGUACUGACGCUGAGGUGCGAAAGCGUGGGGAGCAAACAGG